Molecule: transfer RNA, 76 nt
Filed under: Clostridiales bacterium
Lineage: Bacteria; Bacillati; Bacillota; Clostridia; Eubacteriales
Also listed under: 2 other names
Description: tRNA-Glu
Rfam family: tRNA
About the family: Transfer RNA (tRNA) molecules are approximately 80 nucleotides in length. Their secondary structure includes four short double-helical elements and three loops (D, anti-codon, and T loops).
Source: RNAcentral
GGCCCGUUGGUCAAGUGGCCUAAGACUCCGGCCUCUCACGCCGGCAACAGGGGUUCGAAUCCCCUACGGGUCACCA